This 1370-nucleotide long non-coding RNA is filed under the name Lotus japonicus. RNAcentral's name for it is "long non-coding RNA (LJAP_LNC002101)". The record is from RNAcentral. Lineage: Eukaryota; Viridiplantae; Streptophyta; Magnoliopsida; Fabales; Fabaceae.
GGGUAUUCAGUAUCAGCAAUUUCAGGCAGAACUUUUGGCUCUGGGGUUGGUUUUGGCUCAUCAUGGACAUUCAUUCUCCCAAAAGAUUUCUCAACAGUUUUAAUGUCUUCUAUUUCAUCACUCCCUGUAAGCCAUCAAGAUGAAAAUCUUAAUCUCAAUGGUUCAUAAAGUGUUAAGGUAAGGGAAACAACAAAUGAUAAGAACAAACUUGACAUUAAUAUCUUUAGCCAAGGCCUUAUAUACAUUCUUCACAUAGCCAAUUCUUAAUCACAAAUUUCUUAUAUCUAUUAUGCACCAAUCAGUGUAUUGAUUUUUCUAUUUUUGAGUAAUUACUAGACUUGGACCACACCAAGUCCACAAUGCCAAAACAAAACGCCACACUUUAACCCAAAGUUAAGGGUACAAAUACAAUUUGAAAAAACAAAAUGAUGAUAUUGCUGAACUAUCAGUAAAAGAAAUCAACUCUAAUGAGUACCCAUUUUAUCAAUUUAACCAUGAAAUCUUUUAAAGUAAUAGAAUGAUAUACACAUAAUGCAGAGUCCAUAGCAAAAAAAUGAUUCUGCAACUUUGCUCAAUUGUCCUACUUACCAGCCCCACUUGGAUCAGUUGCUUUGGUUUGAUAAUUUGGAAGAGUAUAUGCCUCAGGUCUACUUCCUUGAGGAUCAUCCUCCAAGACUAUUGGCCUCUCCAAAUCAAUUGCCUUUUCUUCCCCAGCAAAUGUUUUGACUGGUUCAGUGGCAAUGUUUUGAUUCAUUUCAGCAGUAUCAGAAGCUUCAGAAAUCUCGGGAGAGACAGUUAUAUCAGCGGUUGCCGAUGAGAUUUCAUCUGUGUAACUGUUAUGGUUUGAUUUUGUCUUCACUGAUUGUUGUUCUUCAGGUGUGGUUGUGAUGGUGUUGAAAGUUUGUUCUUCAAUUUCCGGGUUUCUAUUGAUAUUUGUAGAUAUCUUCUCCGAAGAGAGCUGAUCAUGAGUUCUAGCAGAAGGAUCGUGGGUUUCUGUAGCAGCAGAUAGGUUUGGUUCAAACUGAUCAUUACUUCCAGUAGGAGGAUAUUCAGUAUCAGCAAUUUCUGGCAGUACUUUUGGCUCUGGUGUAGGUUUUGGCUCAUCAUGGACAUUCAUUCUCUCAAAAGAUUUUUCAACAGUUUUAAUGUCUUCUAUUUCAUCACUUCCUGUAAGAUAUCACAGAUGAAAAUCUUAAUCUCAACAACAACAAAAGUUUUAUCCCACUAAGUGAGGUCGGCUAUGAAAAUCUUAUUCAGUAGUAGAUAAAUUGUUAGGGUAAGCAAAGCAACAAAUGACAAGAGCAAACUUGGCAUUAUAUCUUUAGCCAAGGUCUUAAUGCAAGUGAAUAUUAGAGUAUGUACCCUAAAAC